CUGGUGAGCUUGUUAUUACUGAUGGCUUUUCAGGGCAGCCCCUGAGCCCAGUGAAGGCCUCAUAUUCCCCUGGGUUCUGAAUAUAACUAGAGCCCCUUAGCCCCAACAGCUUUCCUAAAUUUUCCACAUCCAAGCCUAACAGUCUCCCCAUGUGUUUGUGUAUUUGCUGUGUUCUCAGCUGGCCCGGAUUGCGGACAGUAAGGAUCAUGUAUUUCCUGUGAAUGACGGCUUUCAGGCUCUGCAAGGCAUCAUCCACUCAAUUUUGAAGAAGUCCUGCAUCGAAAUUCUAGCAGCUGAACCAU
This 302-nucleotide small RNA is filed under the name Pongo abelii (Sumatran orangutan). RNAcentral's name for it is "retained intron". Lineage: Eukaryota; Metazoa; Chordata; Mammalia; Primates; Hominidae. The record is from RNAcentral.